Long non-coding RNA from Vidua macroura (Pin-tailed whydah), 384 nucleotides. RefSeq lists it as uncharacterized. The transcript has 3 exons. NCBI's taxonomy places the organism in Eukaryota, Metazoa, Chordata, Aves, Passeriformes, Viduidae. The record is from RefSeq and is a predicted model, not a curated record.
CGCGGCGCAGCGGAGCAGGCUCGGGCCGGGCUCGGCGCUGCCCGUAACGGAGCUCCAGGGGGUGUUGCGGGAUGAACGGGUACAGUCAGGCAAAAUUGUCCAGGCUGGGCUGGUGGAAGGUGGAAGAACUGGAAUGAAAUGGGAUUUAAGGUCCCUCCCAACACAAACCAGUCCAGGAUUCUGGGAUUUUCUGGGCUUCUACAUCCAAAAGUACAAACAAAUUCAGAUCUGUGCACAUCAAGUGGAAGCCAAGACUGAGAGCAUCUGUUGGACACAAGACCCACCUGAUAUUCCCAGGAAUCCUUUAAGGAUGAGCGAAGAGAUAAAGAUGGAGAAGUUUCUGGGCAGAUUCUGGGCAGAAUUCUGUGAAUUUUAGUAACGGAG